AGGCGAAAAGAACCCCGGCGAGGGGAGUGAAAAAGAACCUGAAACCGUGUACGUACAAGCAGUGGGAGCACCCUUUUGGGUGUGACUGCGUACCUUUUGUAUAAUGGGUCAGCGACUUAUAUUCUGUAGCAAGGUUAACCGAAUAGGGGAGCCGGAGGGAAACCGAGUCUUAAUUGGGCGUUAAGUUGCAGGGUAUAGACCCGAAACCCGGUGAUCUAGCCAUGGGCAGGUUGAAGGUUGGGUAACACUAACUGGAGGACCGAACCGACUAAUGUUGAAAAAUUAGCGGAUGACCUGUGGCUGGGGGUGAAAGGCCAAUCAAACCGGGAGAUAGCUGGUUCUCCCCGAAAGCUAUUUAGGUAGCGCCUCGUGAAUUCAUCUCCGGGGGUAGAGCACUGUUUCGGCUAGGGGGCCAUCCCGGCUUACCAACCCGAUGCAAACUGCGAAUACCGGAGAAUGUUAUCACGGGAGACACACGGCGGGUGCUAACGUCCGUCGUGAAGAGGGAAACAACCCAGACCGCCAGCUAAGGUCCCAAAGUCAUGGUUAAG
This 551-nucleotide ribosomal RNA is filed under the name Salmonella enterica subsp. enterica serovar Bareilly. RNAcentral's name for it is "partial 23S ribosomal RNA". It matches the Rfam family "Bacterial large subunit ribosomal RNA", at positions 512 to 1063 of the family's 2925-position model. Lineage: Bacteria; Pseudomonadati; Pseudomonadota; Gammaproteobacteria; Enterobacterales; Enterobacteriaceae. The record is from RNAcentral.